Long non-coding RNA from Leucoraja erinaceus (little skate), 2206 nucleotides. RefSeq lists it as uncharacterized. The record is from RefSeq and is a predicted model, not a curated record. NCBI's taxonomy places the organism in Eukaryota, Metazoa, Chordata, Chondrichthyes, Rajiformes, Rajidae. The transcript has 2 exons.
UUCAAAGCUCUGCAAUGAGGUAGAUGGGAGGUCAAGACUUCACACUCGCUGAUGAGAGAACCAUUCAGUUGCCUGAUUAUAGUUGGGAAGAAACUGUCCCUGAAUCUGGAGGUAUGCUUUUUCAAACCUCUGUACCUCUUGCCCGAUGUGAGAGGGGAGAAGAGGGAAUAACCGGGGUGAGAUUGGGCCCUCAUUAUGUUGGUGGCCUUGCCGAGGCAGCGUGAGGUGUAAAUGGAGUCAACGGAAAGGCGUUGGUUUGCGUGAUGUUCUGGGCUGUGUCCACAACUCUGCAAUUUUUUGGGGGUUUGGAUGGAGCUGUUCCAAAACCAGGCGGUACGGCGCAUCUGUCGAAGUUAGUGGGGAUUGUCGGGGAUAUGCUGAACAUCCUAAGCCUUCUAAGGAAGUAGAGGCGUUCGUGUGCUUUCUUCGCCAUAGCUUCAAUGUGGCCAAGACAUUUCACUGUACCUUGGUACAUGUCACAAUAAUAAACCGAAACCAAUGUUAAACACCAAUCUAUUUCUUUAACACUCUUUCUUUCAUCUUUAGUAUAGUAUCACAUUCAACGAGGUAGUUCAUUAGUCAUAGGGGCAGAAUUAGGCCAUUCGGUCCAUCAAGACUACUCCGCCAUUCAAUCAUGGAUGAUCUAUCUUUCCCUCUUAACCCCAUUCUCCUGCCAUCGCCCCAUGACCCUUGAUAUCUUUACUAAUCAAGAAUCUGUCAAUCUAGCUGUAAAAUAUGGCCAAUGAUGGCCUCCACAGCCAUCGGUGGCAAUUAAUUAGAUUCACCUCCCUCUUGACUAAAGAAAUCCCUCCUUAUCUCCUUCCUAACAAAUUAUGAGGCUGUGCCCACUGGUCCUGGACUCUCCCACUAGUGGAAACGUCCUCUCUAUCCAGACCUUUUACUAUUCUGUAAGUUUAAAAAAAAAAAAAUAUAUUAAUUAGAAGUGAGUACAAUGCAUUAGUACAGAAAUUAUGUUAACAUAUUACAUUCUCUGUACAACCUCCCUUUUUUUAAUUUUAAGAGAGAAGUGAGAAAAGAGAGAAGGAAAAGAGGUUGUGAAAAUUGAAGAAUAGACUAGUGAGCGUGAGUGAAAGAGAAGGAAUAAGUGAAGAAGGAAAGCAGGAGGGAGAUUAUUCAAUCGCCACAAUGAGAUGACUUUUUAAUAUUCUAAAUCAUCUUUCACCCAUACCUGAAACUUUUAGUUUUCAUGAUACUAUGUCACCACAUGAAUCCAAGAAAUCAAUAAAUGGGGACCAACUCCUUAAGUUGUUUUGUCUUGUUUGUCUAUUAGGAGGAGUCUCAUUUCUUCCAAAUGUGCUGUGUCCAGCAUAUUACUAAUCCACAUUUUAAAUGUUGGUAUAUUAGCAUAUUCGUUAAGAUUCAAUGAGGUCCACCCUCAUCCUUCUAAACUCCAGCGAGUACAGGCCCCGGUGCCAUCACACGCUCAUCAUGCAUUAACCCAAUCAUCCCUGGGAUCAUUCUCGUACACCUCGUCUGGACCCUCUCCAAUGCCAGCACAUCAAAUAUGGGUCCCAAAACUGCUCACAGUACAGUGAAAAGCUUUUUGUUGCUCGCUAUUCAGUCAGUGAAAAGAAGAUACUUGAUUACAAUCCUGCCGUGCACAAUGGAGAUACAGGAUACAGGGAAGAACAUUUAGUGCAAGAUAAAGCCCAGUAAAGUCCCAUUAAAGAUAGUUUGAAGGUCUCCAGUGAGAUGGAUAGUAGCUCAGGGCUGCUCCCUAGUUGGCGUUAGGAUGGUUCAGUUGAUAACAACUGGGAGGAAAUUAUCCCUGAAUCUGGAGGUGUGCGUUUUCACACUUCUUUACCUCUUGCCCGAUGGGAGAGGGGAGAAGAGGGAGUGACCGGGGUGAGACUGGUCCUUGAUUAUGCUGCUGGCCUUGCCGAGGCAGCUUGACGUGUAGAUGGAGUCAAUAGAUGGGAGGGUGCUUUGCUUUAGGAGAUCCCCAUGCCAGGAGCCCAUCUCCCAACUUGAAAACCGAGGGGAGCCGAGUCCCUUCAAUAGAAAUAAAGGUCACAUCCAGUAACAAAAAAAAUUUAUUCAAAGUUUCAUUAAUACAUACUGAACAGGUUAUCUACAAAUCUAUGGUCAGGUAACAUUUUCUUCCUGCUAAGUUACACUGAAUAUACAGCACAAGAUAUAAAAGCAAAAAAAAAAAAAAAAAAAAAAAAAUUAUUGGAACUCAAGA